CCACCUCCACUCACUCAACGUUCUCUUGAAAGGCUGGGUUUAUCGACCCACUUCUGUGAGGCUGGCUCCUGGCUCUGUGCUGGGGUUACAGGCCGCAGUGGUGCUGGGAACGGGGAGAUGGCUGUGCUGGCUUGCUGGGCUCCACAGCUCCCACCCCCGGCGUUGAGAGCUUCAUGCUGAAAGGUUCAAGGGCAGAGAGAUGGCCCGUGGCCCACAUCCGCCCAGGCCCCCAAGGCAGGGCCUGUGGUUUCUGGCAUGAGCUUCACCUGUGGAAGCCACAGCCAGCCUUUGCUGCAGCCUGGAGCCUAAUCUAGAAUUACCAGGUGGCUGAGGCCCAGACAGGCUUUGUGCUGGGGUACUCAAGCAGAAAUCUGCCUCAGCCCGUCGUGAUCCUAUUAGGGAGUGGGGAAGUUAAUGAACAGUGUGUCUUUCUUGCCUUUCCUGUCUGCCUUCACACGCUGUGUUUAUCUACUUACUUAUGGAAAUCCAGGCCUUCUUAGUAGGCAGAGCAGAGAAACAGCUUCUUGUCUCUCUGGGAAACUGCACAAAUCAUUCCAUUCAGGCACAAGCCUCCAUCGGGCUGCUGAAGUCUAACUAAGAUGUCUUUAACCCUUCCUCCACCCAGCCCUGUCAUCUGAGUCAGCUCUCAGAAACAAGAGACGCUCAGAGAACAAAGAGGUUCCCAGAGGAGGGAUUUUGUUGCAAGCUACAAGAGCAGGAGAGGAGGAAGCAGCCGCAGAGCCAGAAAUUGGAAGAAGGAGCCCGUGAAGGUCGUGCGUGGCGGUAAAGCCGUGGAGGACUUCUUGUGUGCACACACCUACUUGCCUCAGGACGUGAGUUGGUUCUUCUUUACACAGAAUCCUGAAAUGCAGACCCUGAGCCGGAGGCUGAGGCUCCUGCCUGACGGGCCGGCCCUCGCUGAGGUGGCUUGUCAGCACCCGUGUCUGGGGGUCCCCGUGCACAUCCCCACCAACACUUGCGACUAUGGUUUUUUACACUUUUUUCCUAAUAUAAGAGGGAAGAAAAAUCUCAAGUUUGUACUGGACAAUCUUUUAAAGUUUUUUGGCAAUUUCC
This is a non-coding RNA of Ictidomys tridecemlineatus (thirteen-lined ground squirrel), 1074 nucleotides long. NCBI's taxonomy places the organism in Eukaryota, Metazoa, Chordata, Mammalia, Rodentia, Sciuridae. The record is from RefSeq and is a predicted model, not a curated record.